UUUCAUCAUAGGAAAAGACAAGGCAGGUAGCUGUGGAUAAUUUCUGAAUAGCCAAAGUGAUUGGUCAUCAUUACCAGACCUACAUAGUAUGUCCAAACUUGUGUUCUGGGGUCCACUGAUCCUGAAGUUCCCUCACAGUCCAGUUUGAAGA
Molecule: long non-coding RNA, 151 nt
Filed under: Canis lupus dingo (dingo)
Lineage: Eukaryota; Metazoa; Chordata; Mammalia; Carnivora; Canidae
Description: lncRNA (ENSCAFG00020011170.1)
Source: RNAcentral